AUAUGUGAAUAAAUAAACCAGGAUAGUAGAUACUUUCAAAAGAUGUAAAUUUUGUCUUAUUCUGUACUUACGGUAAACAAUUACUAAGGAAGUGAACAACCACUUUGAAGGGGAAUAGGUCCCUGAACCUUUUGGUCUGAAACUAUUGAAAUGGCUGAUCCUUUCAUUUUAAACAAAGUUUCAGGGUUUUCCCUACUAAAGCUACCCAUGGCAACUUGCCAGAACAAAUCAGCCUUCAACAAAAUGAAGGUCUGAACAUGACAGUUCGGUACAGGCAUGAAGUCACAUUCGCCAGAUGUCCAUUUUUGGAUCAGUCUUUCUAAACCUGCCUUUCUACAUAAAUAAUUCACAUCUUCUCUCAACUAAAAGGUAAGGUUACGGUCAUUGUUAACUACUUAGAAAUACAACAAAUAAUGCUGUUUUUU
This 425-nucleotide long non-coding RNA is filed under the name Lepisosteus oculatus (spotted gar). RNAcentral describes it as "lncRNA (ENSLOCG00000022584.1)". The record is from RNAcentral. Lineage: Eukaryota; Metazoa; Chordata; Actinopteri; Semionotiformes; Lepisosteidae.